Long non-coding RNA from Equus caballus (horse), 6597 nucleotides. The record is from Ensembl. Lineage: Eukaryota; Metazoa; Chordata; Mammalia; Perissodactyla; Equidae.
UUUAUAGAACCUGGGUCCCUGCCCAAAAGCUGUCUCCACUCACAAGACUUAAAAUUUUCAGCUUUGUUGAGGAUGUAUAAAUGAAUUGUGGAAGUUAUAUAAGGGGAGAUGUACAUUUUUCAUUAGUUUGUUACUGUCCACUGUGUACCGGCCACUGUACUGGGUUAUAAAAUUUAGACUCCAUGGUCCACCGAUACACUCACCCCCUUGAAAAUAUCCCCAACUGCUGUGCCCUUUUUCCUCCAUCCUUCUUGCAUGGCAGGCCCGAGAAUGAGCCUUAUGUGGCAGAACGAGAGGAGCUGAACACUGCUGGAGAAAAUCACACGACUGAGCUGACUGGGAUGCAUUUUGACUUCAUCUCUAACUACAGAAAGGCACUUGGUACUGCUCACCCAUCAUACUGAGUUUUUCUAGUUUCCCACUCCUUAAAAUGAUUUUCCGUCUCUCAAAUUGCCUGCAUCCCGUCUUUCUUCUUGCUGAGCAGAUGACCUCACUCCAGACUUCAUUAGGGAGGAGAACUUACUUGUCUUCCUGUACCUUUCCUAAAAGUCGACCUGCGCUUGCCCGUGUUUCUUCUUCUGCCCGAAUGGAGGACGUGUCCCUCCUCCUAUCAAAGGCCAGUCCUCCCUUUGCGUUCUGGAUUCUUUCUGGUCUCGUUCACUCAAGGUCUUCCUUCAACCCUUUGGUUUUCCCCUUCUGUUCAUGCUUCAGCAGUCUCUUCCUUUCUACUGGAUCCUUCCCAUCACGACAUUAACGUGCUCUGGUGUCGCCCACCUUCUUGACCUCACAUUCUAGACCUUUUCCCUACUGCUCUCUUUUUCUGCUCCCUUCUCAGCAAAAUUUCUUUAAAAUAGUUGCUACGCAUGUCUCUGCUUCUUCUCUCAUCAUUCACUCUUUGGUUUACUCCGAUCUGGAUUCUCUUUCCACCACUCUCCACUGAAAGCACUCUUGUGAGGGUCACCAAUGGAUACUUCUGUUUUCAUUUUAAAUUCACAGGAGCGUUUGGUUCACUUAACCUCUCUCUUCUUUUUGGCUUCCGGACAUCUUUUGCUUCUGGUUUUCCUCUUUCACUCUGGCUGCUCUUUCUUAGUCUCCUUGACUAGUUUAUCCUCCUUACCUCCAAAUAUUAGAGUUUCUCAGCGUUCAGUUCUAAAGCCUCUUCUUUCCUUUUCCUCUCUCAUCUCUCCCUAGGUGAUGUCAUCUGUUGCCCUGGAUUUAAAUAACAUCUUCAUGUGGAUGAAUUGUAAAUCACUAGCCCAGACAUCUCUGAGCCCCGAGACUUGCGUAUCUAACUGCCUUAUAAUAUUUCUGUGUCGAUAGUCCUUAGACAUCUCAAAUUUAACAUGCCCCAAAGAAAACUCAGUUCCCUGUCUCCACCCUCUCCCAGUCUAGUCUUCCGCAUCUUAGUAAACAGCACCACUUUCCACAGCAAUUGCUGAGCCAGUAACAUGGAAUUCAUUCCCGACUCUACCAAAUGCUGUCUACCUCCAAAAUAUACUUAACUCUAUCUCCGCACAUGCCUGGCUCAGAUAGGCACUCUAUAAGUAUUUGUUUAAUGAACAAAUGAGUAGGAAAAAGGUUUAUGUUUGUACGCUUGAGAUGCUCUAGAACAAGUUGCUAGGAGUCCAGUGGAAUGAGAAGUUGGUGUUCUUGUUGCCAAUAGGGUAAGAAGACACUGGAAUUGAAGCCCGCUAAAGAGAAGUAGGGAAAGGAUUUCCCUAGCUUCUAGGGUAGAAGGGAAACUUGCCUGGGAUAAGCGUCAACGUGCCUAGAUCAUUUUGAGUCACUGUAUUGUGGGGUUCAGGAAGGAAUGCUCUCAUAGGAUGGGGAUCAAACCCCUCUAGGCCACACCUUGGGAACUUUCCCCAACGUUCUUCAUAGAAGAGUUUGUAAACUCAGAGAGAGUGAGGUAACCAUAGCCUCUUAAGAAGAGGGGCAGCUCUGAAGAAGGUAGCAGGGAGGUCCGCGGCAGUGUUAGUGGCAAUAGUAAAGCAGGGACACUUUAUAAGAGCCAUUGAUCAUGCGUGAGCUGGGGACCUGCCAGUGCAAGGAGGCUCAGGAAGGGUGACUUCCCAAGCCCUCACGUUCCCAGGUUGUACAGGUGAUUUUACACCACACAGCUUUCGUCAAAAAUGUCUGGGAGAAGCAGCACUCCGUCUCACCCUCUAGGAGAGUCGCUGGACCUAUUGGCAUUAUAAACGCUCCAAGAAAUUCUGCAGUCGAGAAAACGGUUUAACUUUAUUUCACGCGGCAUCUUCCAAACAGGUUUGACCUCAGAGCCCUUUGUCUCGGAAAACCUAUGUCACUGAAUACUCCUGUUCCACAAAACACAGAGGACUGCAAGGAGGCAAUGUUUCCUUAGCCGUGGACGCAGACGCCUGGGUCCCGCUGGGUUCUUUACAAGAGGUCUGCAAUCCCUGUGUGCACCAAACUCUAGAUAAAUAACAGUUCUCAAAUACGCCUGUGCUACUUUUAGAAAAUAUGCGUUGAUACCUGUAAUUAAAAAAACCGAAUUCUUAGUCACUCAAUACUAAACGUGUAACUGAUCCUAUUAUGUGGGAGCAUGAAGAAUAUUUUCUCAUUAAAAGGAGAUCUUUAUAAGAAUAUGUUUGUGGCUCAACUAUCCUUAAGAUGAUUUUGAUCCAAUAAAUAAUAACGGCUGACUUGGUGCUUAAUAUGCUCAGGUCCUACAUUAAGCGCUUUAGAGAGAUUGUCUCAUUCAAUCCUUAGAGCAAGCCUAUGAGGCGGGUAUUCUUACUAUCAUUCUCAUUUCGUGGUUGAGGAAAUAAGGCUUAAAUUAAGUGCAGCCAUUUGUUGAAAGUCACGCAAUAUAAAGUGGUAGAAUAGGGGUUUGAACCCAGGAGGCUGACUCCAGAGUCCAUGUCUUAAGCAUUAGGCAGCAUGGCCCUUAUCAGGGCAACGCGUUCUAAAGAGAAAAGGCACAAGGCACGUGUCUGAGCUUUUUCAGGGAAGAAUGGAGACUUCUGUGUCCUGUUUUAUGGCAGCUAAUUCUGUUCCUGUGUCUUCCUGAGAAAUUGCUCCACGGACUCCUCCUCCGCCAGACCACAUCCUCCCCAUUUCUUUAUUAAUUCCGCAAUUAAAAAAGAAAAACACAAUCCAGCAUUUUGGGGAAAAUGAAGGUGUGAAAGAAGGGACCUUUCCACACCUUUCUUUUUGGCUAAACAAUCAACACUUUUCCCUGGUGAAGUUGCAUCCAUCUCCACAGCGCCUCACCAGCAUUCUUUUUUUUUUUCAAAAAUAAUUUUAAAAAACUUAAAAAAAGAAUUACCAAGAGAAUUACUAAGCAAAACAGUCCUGGGGGAGGGAAACGUCGACGUGCCUUUCCUAGAAGAGGGAACUCGGCACGACUCAGGACUGAGGCCUGUCCCCUCACUUUUGGUAAUGCGGAAUGAUGUGCCCUCUUGUCAGUCAGGGACAAGGCAUGUGAUUUGAGGGAGUGAAGAUAUACCUAUGAACUUAUGGCAAGGCUUCAUAUAUAGAUAUAAUUUUUUUUAAAGCAAAAGUGUAAUGCUGGUACUUCAUGCGUAAAGAUGACAAUCACAACAGUAAAAGUCCUUGACUUUCUGCCCCAUAAAUUAUCUGCUGAGUGCUGCCGCUUAAUGUCUCAGACUGGCUCUGCUUUUGUCUUUCUUUCAGCAUAUGGAAUAGAUUUUUGCUUACACAUGAACAGUGCCACCCCAUCUCAGCAUCCCACCGGGAAAAUGGAACAUAAAAUUGCUUUCCUGAACUGUUUUCCUUUUAGCAAGUUAUUCUCCAGAGUUUUCCCAGCAUGUCUCAAGCAGCACUUUAGUACCUCAACUCCUGAGGUGCAAUAGUAUAUUAAAAAUGAUGUGUUUGGAAAAACACUUACUUAGGAUCCAGACGGGAGUUAACAAUUUAACUCUCUUUUUAAGAGCUGCAUUUAAACAUGUGUAUAUGAAGGUUCUAUGGGGGAAACAAAACUUUAGUCUACUUUAUACUAAUCUAUCCUAUUAAAGAACGAAAAUUCAACCAAGUAAAUUUAAACAUAAUUGUCUUUAUUGAAUGAUUCAUGAAUUGGGUAGCAUCCCAUCUAGGAAAUAGAAGGGAGCUCCAAGAAGUUGUACAAAAUGGAAGGUUUUUAUAGGCAGAAAGAGGGUUGGAGAAGAAGUUCAGAGAAUGGAUUAUUUCCAGCAAGGUCACCUUCCCUUAGGGGAGGAGGGGGUCUUAUCAGACAGGUUACCUCAUUAGUGUUAAUCAGGAAACUCCAGACUGAUUGGUUUAAAAUUCCACUCCUGGGAGAGGCAGAAACUUCAGCUAGAUGAAGUCUUGGUGGGGCUUACCAUAAGUGACUCCAUUUUGGGCCUGUUGCUUCUUUUUAACAAUCCUUAGACCACCCAGAAUGACAAAAUUUUGCAUAAUUUCUUUGAUAGAUUAGUAUAGAGUGCUAUGUUACAUAGCUGUUAAGUAUAUGUAUGCUUGUAUGUUUUCCCAGCUAAAAGCAGGGUGAAAGGAGAAGAGAAAACAGGAGCAGGAACAAAGAUGACUCCAAGCCUUGUUGCAGCUCUGCUACAUGGAAUUAAGGAAAAAGUCCUGAAUCCACUUGAGUCUGCUUUGUGAAAGAGCCAAGUGGACCUGGAGGCAAGGGUGGCAGCCACAGUGAUUUCUGACAGGACUCCAGGGCGACGGUGAAUCUUGAGGGGACAGAAAUCUGGUUGUCCAUCUAGUCUCCCCUUCUCAAGUAGCGAAUCUACCUCCAUUCCAAUCUUGGAAGGUUUUAUUAAGAGAGACUGUGGGGUUUCUACAUUUCCCACAUAGGCUGCUGGCGCAGGUGAAUCCUGGCUGGCCCAGUUGUGAAAUAAGCCCCUUAUUCCUUAAUUUCCAGGGAGUUGGCGUUAUGCUGCAGAAAGAGCACGAUCUUUGAAGCUGGCAAACUUUAGUUCACAGCCAUGCUGGGAGAGGUUUGCGAACUUGAGCAAGUUGCUUCAACUCCCUGAGCCUCCAAAUCCUCAGCUACAAAAUGAGGGCAAGAAUGACAAUCUUAGAGAGUUACUGUGAGGAUCAAAUAUGAUAACUUCCGUAAAAGCACCUAAUACACUGCCUGGAACACAAUUGACUUGAAAGAAACAUCAGUUCUCCUACUUCCCUGGCCCCACCCUCACGCCUCUGAGUCUGGGACCCACUUCCCCACAGGCCCAGCGCCUGUGGCAACUCCCAGCCUCCCAGGCCCCUCAGAGGCACGUCUCCCUGCACCAGACCUUAAGUGACCCUCCAUAACCUUCAGGAAAAUUGACCUCUCCCAGAACUUGUCUCUGCUUUUAGGUAACAAUUAACUCAUAAUGAUUAACUCAGUAUUAUACUUCCUUAACCCAAAGGAAUCACUCUAUUGACAAUUUUGUCAGGUACCAUGGUGGGUCUAUGGGGGAGAUGCAGCAUUUGGGGACAGUUGGAAUCUUGCUGUAAUUAACGGUAACCUCCAGAUGAUACCACUUGCCUUCAGAGCAAGGCUUGGAGUUCAGUUUUUUUUUUUUUUUUCCCGAGGAAGAUUAGCCCUGAGCUAACUACUGCCAAUCCUCCUCUUUUUGCUAAGGAAGACUGGCCCUGAGCUAACAUCCAUGCCCAUCUUCCUCUACUUUAUACGUGGGAUGCCUGCCACAGCAUGGCUUUUGCUAAGAGGUGCCAUGUCUGCACCGGGGAUCCGAACCGGCUAACCCCGGGCCACCGAGAAGCAGAACAUGAGGACUCAACCACUGCGUCACCAGACCGCCCGGCGUUCAGUUUUGAAGUGAAUGGAUUUUUCUCUGAAAUCCCCCAAGGAACAAUCAUGGUCCUUAUGCCCUUAAGGUAACUGCCUCUUCACUGCUGGAAGAGAUUUAGGACCAAUAGAUGGGAUUAUGAUUAUCAGGGACACUCUUUAGCCUUAAAUUAAAAUGCUUUCAAUGGUUGGUGGCUGGCUUACUUGGUCACCUAUGGAACCUUUCAUCUCUCAGUUACUGUUUCAAAUUUGCCCCUGCAAUGGCAUUCCUCCAGGAAGAAGGCAGCCUCUGAUAAGGAAUUCAAAUGGGGUCUCAGCCCUGUCACUUAGCCGUGGACACUCAGCUGCCUGGAAACAUCCUUCCCUCUGGCACAACAGCUCCUUACUGACAGUCUCAGCGGAGAAACUGAAGAGCAAACAAAUUUCAUCUCUAACCCCCCACACUGGCCACCCAGCAGGGUUCUGUCUUUAGGGCAAGGGGGAUGUGAAAUAACUCAGGUCGCUCUCAUCACAGUGUUCUUUCUCCACAGGAGGCUGUCGGCUGCUGAGGGCUGUCAAUCUGACAUACUUCUCUAGUUCUACAGGGAGACGAAAAUACCAUUUAAGUCUUAUUCCAACAUUUCUCAAAUCAUGUGGGUAUUACCAAGCAUGAAAUCAUCAUCUGAAAACUCAAUUUUAUAAAGAGUCGUUUCUUCAGGAAAAAUACGAAAGAACAUUCCUCCUGUUUACUCUGAGAUUUGCUUUUUUUCAAUAGUGUGGUUAUUGUGUCUUUCUUAAUCUUUGGGGAUUAGGCUUCCAUUUUUCACCUAGACUGCAAUUUGCUCAUAAAUCUCUUCAUCUUUGCUUAAUUCAAAUGUUUUGGC